CGGGAACUCUGAGACAGGUGCUGCAUGGCUGUCGUCAGCUCGUGUUGUGAAUGUUGGGUUAGUCCCGCAACGAGCGCAACCCUUAUCCUUGUUGCCAGCGGUUCGGCCGGGAACUCAAAGGAGACUGCCAGUGAUAAACUGGAGGAAGGUGGGGAUGACGUCAAGUCAUCAUGGCCCUUACGAGUAGGGCUACACACGUGCUACAAUGGCGUAUACAAAGAGAAGCGACCUCGCGAGAGCAAGCGGACCUCAUAAAGUACGUCGUAGUCCGGAUUGGAGUCUGCAACUCGACUCCAUGAAGUCGGAAUCGCUAGUAAUCGUAGAUCAGAAUCUACGGUGAAUACGUUCCCGGGCCUGUACACACCGCCCGUCACACCAUGGGAGUGGGUUGCAAAGAAGUAGGUAGCUUACCUCG
Molecule: ribosomal RNA, 415 nt
Filed under: Serratia nematodiphila DZ0503SBS1
Lineage: Bacteria; Pseudomonadati; Pseudomonadota; Gammaproteobacteria; Enterobacterales; Yersiniaceae
Description: bacterial SSU rRNA
Rfam family: Bacterial small subunit ribosomal RNA
Source: RNAcentral